GCUGGCGGCAGGCCUAACACAUGCAAGUCGAGCGGUGAAGGGAGCUUGCUCCUGGAUUCAGCGGCGGACGGGUGAGUAAUGCCUAGGAAUCUGCCUGGUAGUGGGGGAUAACGUCCGGAAACGGGCGCUAAUACCGCAUACGUCCUGAGGGAGAAAGUGGGGGAUCUUCGGACCUCACGCUAUCAGAUGAGCCUAGGUCGGAUUAGCUAGUUGGUGGGGUAAAGGCUUACCAAGGCGACGAUCCGUAACUGGUCUGAGAGGAUGAUCAGUCACACUGGAACUGAGACACGGUCCAGACUCCUACGGGAGGCAGCAGUGGGGAAUAUUGGACAAUGGGCGAAAGCCUGAUCCAGCCAUGCCGCGUGUGUGAAGAAGGUCUUCGGAUUGUAAAGCACUUUAAGUUGGGAGGAAGGGCAGUAAGUUAAUACCUUGCUGUUUUGACGUUACCAACAGAAUAAGCACCGGCUAACUUCGUGCCAGCAGCCGCGGUAAUACGAAGGGUGCAAGCGUUAAUCGGAAUUACUGGGCUGUAAAGCGCGCGUAGGUGGUUCAGCAAGUUGGAUGUGAAAUCCCCGGGCUCAACCUGGGAACUGCAUCCAAAACUACUGAGCUAGAGUACGGUAGAGGGUGGUGGAAUUUCCUGUGUAGCGGUGAAAUGCGUAGAUAUAGGAAGGAACACCAGUGGCGAAGGCGACCACCUGGACUGAUACUGACACUGAGGUGCGGAAAGCGUGGGGAGCAAACAGGAUUAGAUA
This 755-nucleotide ribosomal RNA is filed under the name Pseudomonas aeruginosa. RNAcentral's name for it is "bacterial SSU rRNA". It matches the Rfam family "Bacterial small subunit ribosomal RNA", at positions 35 to 784 of the family's 1533-position model. Lineage: Bacteria; Pseudomonadati; Pseudomonadota; Gammaproteobacteria; Pseudomonadales; Pseudomonadaceae. The record is from RNAcentral.